RNAcentral lists this ribosomal RNA (441 nucleotides) under uncultured bacterium. RNAcentral describes it as "partial 16S ribosomal RNA". It matches the Rfam family "Bacterial small subunit ribosomal RNA", at positions 338 to 795 of the family's 1533-position model. The record is from RNAcentral.
CCUACGGGCGGCUGCAGUGGGGGAUAUUGCACAAUGGGGGGAACCCUGAUGCAGCGACGCCGCGUGGGUGAAGGAGUAUUUCGGUAUGUAAAGCCCUAUCGGCAGGGAAGAAUUUAGACGGUACCUGACUAAGAAGCCCCGGCUAACUACGUGCCAGCAGCCGCGGUAAUACGGGGGGGGCAAGCGUUAUCCGGAUUCACUGGGGGUAAGGGGAGCGUAGACGGUCAGGGAAGCGUGGAGUGAAAGCCCGGGGCCCAACCCCGGGAGUGCCCUGGGGACUGUCCGGAUGGAGUGCGUGAGGGGCAGGCAGAAUUCCUGGUGUAGCGGUGAAAUGCGUAGAUAUGAGGAGGAACACCGGCGGCGAAGGCGGCCUGCUGGACCGCGACUGACGUUGAGGCUCGAAAGCGUGGGGAGCGAACAGGAUUAGAUACCCCUGUAGUC